Molecule: ribosomal RNA, 639 nt
Filed under: Debaryomyces hansenii
Lineage: Eukaryota; Fungi; Ascomycota; Pichiomycetes; Serinales; Debaryomycetaceae
Description: eukaryotic LSU rRNA
Rfam family: 5.8S ribosomal RNA (bases 259-412)
Source: RNAcentral
UCCUGUAUUAAAUUUGUAGCUACAAGGUUUCCGUAGGUGAACCUGCGGAAGGAUCAUUACAGUAUUCUUUUUGCCAGCGCUUAAUUGCGCGGCGAAAAAACCUUACACACAGUGUUUUUUGUUAUUACAAGAACUUUUGCUUUGGUCUGGACUAGAAAUAGUUUGGGCCAGAGGUUUACUGAACUAAACUUCAAUAUUUAUAUUGAAUUGUUAUUUAUUUAAUUGUCAAUUUGUUGAUUAAAUUCAAAAAAUCUUCAAAACUUUCAACAACGGAUCUCUUGGUUCUCGCAUCGAUGAAGAACGCAGCGAAAUGCGAUAAGUAAUAUGAAUUGCAGAUUUUCGUGAAUCAUCGAAUCUUUGAACGCACAUUGCGCCCUCUGGUAUUCCAGAGGGCAUGCCUGUUUGAGCGUCAUUUCUCUCUCAAACCUUCGGGUUUGGUAUUGAGUGAUACUCUUAGUUGAACUAGGCGUUUGCUUGAAAUGUAUUGGCAUGAGUGGUACUGGAUAGUGCUAUAUGACUUUCAAUGUAUUAGGUUUAUCCAACUCGUUGAAUAGUUUAAUGGUAUAUUUCUCGGUAUUCUAGGCUCGGCCUUACAAUAUAACAAACAAGUUGACCUCAAAUCAGCAAAUUAUCUCAUGC